RNAcentral lists this ribosomal RNA (404 nucleotides) under uncultured bacterium. RNAcentral describes it as "bacterial SSU rRNA". It matches the Rfam family "Bacterial small subunit ribosomal RNA", at positions 355 to 776 of the family's 1533-position model. The record is from RNAcentral.
CCGGGAAUAUUGCGCAAUGGGCGAAAGCCUGACGCAGCGACACCGCGUGUGGGAUGAAGCUCUUCGGAGUGUAAACCACUGUGGCGAGGGAUGACAUCGACAGUACCUCGCUAGAAAGCACCAGCUAACUACGUGCCAGAAGCUUCGGUAAUACGUAGGGUGCAAGCAUUAUCCGGAUUUAUUGGGCGUAAAGCGUCCGUCGGCUUCUUGACAAGUUUUUUGUUUAAGCCUGAAGCUCAACUUCAGACAUGCAAAAAAAACUGUCAAGAUAGAGUCAGUUCGAGGGAAUUGGAACUCUUGGUGGAGGGGUGAAAUCCGUAGAUAUCAAGAGGAACACCGAGCGCGAAAGCAGAUUCCUAGGACAUGACUGACGCUCAUGGACGAAAGCUAGGGUAGCAAAGCGG